GAACUUUACCUUCCAAGAAUCAGUUUGUAAUUCAUGUUCUUUUCAAUGGAUUCGUGUUCUGUUUUACUAGCUAUGAGUGGCUAGUUUAUUUACGCUUAGUUAGACACUUAUGAAACCGAGCACAAGUGAUUUAAAAAUUUAUUUUGUUCUAAAAUCAAAUUUGGCAUUCUUGAAUUGUUUGAUUUUAUCUUCCAAAGAAUUUUUUUCCUGAUUCAAUU
This 218-nucleotide long non-coding RNA is filed under the name Gossypium barbadense (sea-island cotton). RNAcentral's name for it is "long non-coding RNA (GBAR_LNC015623)". The record is from RNAcentral. Lineage: Eukaryota; Viridiplantae; Streptophyta; Magnoliopsida; Malvales; Malvaceae.